RNAcentral lists this ribosomal RNA (1000 nucleotides) under Nocardiopsis sp. ZZY-2013. RNAcentral describes it as "bacterial SSU rRNA". It matches the Rfam family "Bacterial small subunit ribosomal RNA", at positions 32 to 1038 of the family's 1533-position model. The record is from RNAcentral. Lineage: Bacteria; Bacillati; Actinomycetota; Actinomycetes; Streptosporangiales; Nocardiopsidaceae.
AAAGAGAGGCGGGUCUUACCAUUACAAGUCGAGCGGUAAGGCCCUUCGGGGUACACGAGCGGCGAACGGGUGAGUAACACGUGAGCAACCUGCCCCCGACUCCGGGAUAAGCGGUGGAAACGCCGUCUAAUACCGGAUACGACCGGCCACCUCAUGGCGGCCGGUGGAAAGUUUUUCGGUUGGGGAUGGGCUCGCGGCCUAUCAGCUUGUUGGUGGGGUAAAGGCCUACCAAGGCGAUUACGGGUAGCCGGCCUGAGAGGGCGACCGGCCACACUGGGACUGAGACACGGCCCAGACUCCUGCGGGAGGCAGCAGUGGGGAAUAUUGCGCAAUGGGCGAAAGCCUGACGCAGCGACGCCGCGUGGGGGAUGACGGCCUUCGGGUUGUAAACCUCUUUUACCACCAACGCAGGCUCCCAGUUCUCUGGGGGUUGACGGUAGGUGGGGAAUAAGGACCGGCUAACUACGUGCCAGCAGCCGCGGUAAUACGUAGGGUCCGAGCGUUGUCCGGAAUUAUUGGGCGUAAAGAGCUCGUAGGCGGCGUGUCGCGUCUGCUGUGAAAGACCGGGGCUUAACCCCGGUUCUGCAGUGGAUACGGGCAUGCUAGAGGUAGGUAGGGGAGACUGGAAUUCCUGGUGUAGCGGUGAAAUGCGCAGAUAUCAGGAGGAACACCGGUGGCGAAGGCGGGUCUCUGGGCCUUACCUGACGCUGAGGAGCGAAAGCAUGGGGAGCGAACAGGAUUAGAUACCCUGGUAGUCCAUGCCGUAAACGUUGGGCGCUAGGUGUGGGGACUUUCCACGGUUUCCGCGCCGUAGCUAACGCAUUAAGCGCCCCGCCUGGGGAGUACGGCCGCAAGGCUAAAACUCAAAGGAAUUGACGGGGGCCCGCACAAGCGGCGGAGCAUGUUGCUUAAUUCGACGCAACGCGAAGAACCUUACCAAGGUUUGACAUCACCCGUGGACCUGCAGAGAUGUGGGGUCAUUUAGUUGGUGGGUGACAGG